Molecule: non-coding RNA, 28 nt
Filed under: Mus musculus (house mouse)
Lineage: Eukaryota; Metazoa; Chordata; Mammalia; Rodentia; Muridae
Source: RNAcentral
UGCCUGGAGGUGCCGCUGAAGAAGUGAG